RNAcentral lists this unclassified non-coding RNA (22 nucleotides) under Mus musculus (house mouse). RNAcentral's name for it is "oocyte_clustered_small_RNA7340". The record is from RNAcentral. Lineage: Eukaryota; Metazoa; Chordata; Mammalia; Rodentia; Muridae.
CAAGCUUGGUCUGUUGUGAGUU